Molecule: ribosomal RNA, 490 nt
Filed under: uncultured bacterium
Lineage: Bacteria
Description: bacterial SSU rRNA
Rfam family: Bacterial small subunit ribosomal RNA
Source: RNAcentral
GAUGAACGCUAGCUACAGGCUUAACACAUGCAAGUCGCGGGGCAGCAUUUCCUUAGCUUGCUAAGGAAGAUGGCGACCGGCGCACGGGUGAGUAACGCGUAUCCAACCUUCCCAUGUCCACGGGAUAGCCCGUCGAAAGGCGGAUUAAUACCGUAUGAGGUCACAUGCGGGCAUCUAAAUGUGACGAAAGGUUUGGCGGACAUGGAUGGGGAUGCGUCCGAUUAGGUAGUCGGUGGGGUAACGGCCCACCGAGCCGACGAUCGGUAGGGGUUCUGAGAGGAAGGUCCCCCACAUUGGAACUGAGACACGGUCCAAACUCCUACGGGAGGCAGCAGUGAGGAAUAUUGGUCAAUGGGCGCAAGCCUGAACCAGCCAAGUAGCGUGCAGGACGACGGCCCUAUGGGUUGUAAACUGCUUUUAUGCGGGGAUAAAGUAUGGGACGUGUCCCAUUUUGCAGGUACCGCAUGAAUAAGGACCGGCUAAUUCCGUG